RNAcentral lists this ribosomal RNA (485 nucleotides) under uncultured bacterium. RNAcentral describes it as "partial 16S ribosomal RNA". It matches the Rfam family "Bacterial small subunit ribosomal RNA", at positions 32 to 523 of the family's 1533-position model. The record is from RNAcentral.
AAUCAACGCUGGCGGCGUGCCUAACACAUGCAAGUCGAACGAGAACGGAAUAUAGCUUGCUAUAUUUGUCAGCUAAGUGGCGCACGGGUGAGUAAUGUAUAGAUAACCUGCCCUUAAGAAAGGAAUAACAGUUGGAAACGACUGCUAAUGCCCUAUAUGCCUUUAAUACAUAAGUAUGCAAGGGAAACGCUUUAGUGCUUAAGGAUGGGUCUGUAUGGUAUCAGCUUGUUGGUGAGGUAAUGGCUCACCAAGGCUAUGACGCCUAACUGGUUUGAGAGGAUGAUCAGUCACACUGGAACUGAGACACGGUCCAGACUCCUACGGGAGGCAGCAGUGGGGAAUAUUGCACAAUGGACGAAAGUCUGAUGCAGCAACGCCGCGUGGAGGAUGACACAUUUCGGUGCGUAAACUCCUUUUAUAUAGGAAGAUAAUGACGGUACUAUAUGAAUAAGCACCGGCUAACUCCGUGCCAGCCGCCGCCGUAA